RNAcentral lists this ribosomal RNA (483 nucleotides) under Lysinibacillus macroides. Its description in RNAcentral is "bacterial SSU rRNA". It matches the Rfam family "Bacterial small subunit ribosomal RNA", at positions 22 to 489 of the family's 1533-position model. Lineage: Bacteria; Bacillati; Bacillota; Bacilli; Caryophanales; Bacillaceae. The record is from RNAcentral.
GCUCAGGACGAACGCUGGCGGCGUGCCUAAUACAUGCAAGUCGAGCGAAUCGAUGGGAGCUUGCUCCCUGAGAUUAGCGGCGGACGGGUGAGUAACACGUGGGCAACCUGCCUAUAAGACUGGGAUAACUUCGGGAAACCGGAGCUAAUACCGGAUACGUUCUUUUCUCGCAUGAGAGAAGAUGGAAAGACGGUUUACGCUGUCACUUAUAGAUGGGCCCGCGGCGCAUUAGCUAGUUGGUGAGGUAAUGGCUCACCAAGGCGACGAUGCGUAGCCGACCUGAGAGGGUGAUCGGCCACACUGGGACUGAGACACGGCCCAGACUCCUACGGGAGGCAGCAGUAGGGAAUCUUCCGCAAUGGACGAAAGUCUGACGGAGCAACGCCGCGUGAACGAAGAAGGCCUUCGGGUCGUAAAGUUCUGUUGUUAGGGAAGAACAAGUACCAGAGUAACUGCUGGUACCUUGACGGCACGAACCAGAAA